UACAGGGGGGGCAAGCGUUGUUCGGAAUUACUGGGCGUAAAGGGCGCGUAGGCGGCCCGCUAAGUCGAACGUGAAAUCCCCGGGCUCAACCCGGGAACUGCGUCCGAUACUGGCAGGCUUGAAUCCGGGAGAGGGAUGUGGAAUUCCAGGUGUAGCGGUGAAAUGCGUAGAUAUCUGGAGGAACACCGGUGGCGAAGGCGGCAUCCUGGACCGGUAUUGACGCUGAGGCGCGAAAGCCAGGGGAGCAAACGGG
Molecule: ribosomal RNA, 253 nt
Filed under: uncultured bacterium
Lineage: Bacteria
Description: partial 16S ribosomal RNA
Rfam family: Bacterial small subunit ribosomal RNA
Source: RNAcentral